AGAACGAACGCUGGCGGCAGGCCUCAAACAUGCAAGUCUAGGGGGCGUAGCAAUACGUCACCGGCGGACGGGUGCGUAACACGUGGGAAUGUACUUAUUGGUUCGGAACAACUCAGGGAAACUUGAGCUAAUACCGAAUGUGCCCGAAAGGGGAAAGAUUUAUCGCCAAUAAAUCAGCCCGCGUCCGAUUAGCUAGUUGGUGAGGUAAAGGCUCACCAAGGCGACGAUCGGUAGCUGUUCUGAGAGGAAGAUCAGCCACACUGGGACUGAGACACGGCCCAGACUCCUACGGGAGGCAGCAGUUGGGAAUCUUGGACAAUGGGGGAAACCCUGAUCCAGCCAUGCCGCGUGAGUGAUGAAGGCCUUCGGGUUGUAAAACUCUUUCGGACGGGACGAUAAUGACGGUACCCGUAGAAGAAGCUCCGGCUAACUUCGCGCCAGCAGCCGC
RNAcentral lists this ribosomal RNA (448 nucleotides) under uncultured bacterium. RNAcentral describes it as "SSU rRNA". It matches the Rfam family "Bacterial small subunit ribosomal RNA", at positions 26 to 518 of the family's 1533-position model. The record is from RNAcentral.